RNAcentral lists this ribosomal RNA (377 nucleotides) under uncultured bacterium. RNAcentral's name for it is "bacterial SSU rRNA". It matches the Rfam family "Bacterial small subunit ribosomal RNA", at positions 523 to 898 of the family's 1533-position model. The record is from RNAcentral.
CUACGUAGGGGGCGAGCGUUGUCCGGAAUGAUUGGGCGUAAAGGGCGCGUAGGCGGCUGUUCAAGUCCGUAGUGGAAGUCCAUUUUUCAAGGGUGGAAGUGCUAUGGAAACUGAGCAGCUUGAGUGCAGGAGAGGUUAUCGGAAUUCCCGGUGUAGCGGUGAAAUGCGUAGAGAUCGGGAGGAACACCAGUGGCGAAGGCGGGUAACUGGACUGCAACUGACGCUGAGGCGCGAAAGUGUGGGGAGCAAACAGGAUUAGAUACCCUGGUAGUCCACACCAUAAACGAUGAAUGCUAGGUGUAGGGGGUAUCGACCCCUUCUGUGCCGCAGUAAACACAAUAAGCAUUCCGCCUGGGGAGUACGGUCGCAAGAUUAAA